Molecule: small nucleolar RNA, 136 nt
Organism: Boleophthalmus pectinirostris (great blue-spotted mudskipper)
Lineage: Eukaryota; Metazoa; Chordata; Actinopteri; Gobiiformes; Gobiidae
Source: RefSeq, a predicted model, not a curated record
CUGCACUGCCUUUGAACCUCUUUGGUGUACCUCUGUGACCUCUGAGGCCAAGCUGCUGUGCUACAGCAAAGGACUGUUCAUAACUGGAGCAUUCUGGAACAACACCAGACUGCUCUUUUAAAUACAAGCCACAACC